RNAcentral lists this ribosomal RNA (253 nucleotides) under uncultured bacterium. Its description in RNAcentral is "partial 16S ribosomal RNA". It matches the Rfam family "Bacterial small subunit ribosomal RNA", at positions 524 to 776 of the family's 1533-position model. The record is from RNAcentral.
AACGUAGGUUCCGAGCGUUAUCCGGAUUUACUGGGCGUAAAGCGCGUUCAGGCGGUUUGGCAAGUCGGGCAUGAAAUCUCUCGGCUCAACCGGGAGAGGUUGUCCGAUACUUCCAGACUUGAGGGCAGUAGAGGGUGGUGGAAUUCCGGGUGUAGUGGUGAAAUGCGCAGAUAUCGGGAGGAACACCGGUGGCGAAGGCGGUUCUCUGGGCCUUACCUGACGCUGAGGAGCGAAAGCGUGGGGAGCGAACAGG